This 578-nucleotide ribosomal RNA is filed under the name Streptomyces sp. HRTK003. RNAcentral's name for it is "bacterial SSU rRNA". It matches the Rfam family "Bacterial small subunit ribosomal RNA", at positions 102 to 694 of the family's 1533-position model. Lineage: Bacteria; Bacillati; Actinomycetota; Actinomycetes; Kitasatosporales; Streptomycetaceae. The record is from RNAcentral.
ACGGGUGAGUAACACGUGGGCAAUCUGCCCUUCAGUCUGGGACAAGCCCUGGAAACGGGGUCUAAUACCGGAUAUCACUUCCACUCGCAUGGGUGGGGGUCGAAAGCUCCGGCGGUGAAGGAUGAGCCCGCGGCCUAUCAGCUUGUUGGUGAGGUAAUGGCUCACCAAGGCGACGACGGGUAGCCGGCCUGAGAGGGCGACCGGCCACACUGGGACUGAGACACGGCCCAAACUCCUACGGGAGGCAACAGUGGGGAAUAUUGCACAAUGGGCGAAAGCCUGAUGCAGCGACGCCGCGUGAGGGAUGACGGCCUUCGGGUUGUAAACCUCUUUCAGCAGGGAAGAAGCGAAAGUGACGGUACCUGCAGAAGAAGCGCCGGCUAACUACGUGCCAGCAGCCGCGGUAAUACGUAGGGCGCAAGCGUUGUCCGGAAUUAUUGGGCGUAAAGAGCUCGUAGGCGGUCUGUCGCGUCGGAUGUGAAAGCCCGGGGCUUAACCCCGGGUCUGCAUUCGAUACGGGCAGACUAGAGUGUGGUAGGGGAGAUCGGAAUUCCUGGUGUAGCGGUGAAAUGCGCAGA